This is a long non-coding RNA of Marmota flaviventris (yellow-bellied marmot), 957 nucleotides long. RefSeq lists it as uncharacterized. NCBI's taxonomy places the organism in Eukaryota, Metazoa, Chordata, Mammalia, Rodentia, Sciuridae. The record is from RefSeq and is a predicted model, not a curated record.
UACACCGAUGAGCUUUGAGGAUGUUAUUUCACUACUGAAAUGAGCCUACAUGGAAAGACACAUGAUUCUACCAAUGCGAGGUACUGAGAGCAUUCAAAUUCAGAGGUUCAGAAAGUCGAAUGGUAGGAGCCGGUGGCUGGGGGAAGGUUGCCAUGAGAAGUUGUGGUUUCCUGGGUGUCGAGUUUCAGUUUUACCAGAUGCAGAGUCUUGGAGAUGGGCGGUGGUGAUGUGCGCACACGAUGAAUGGACGCAGCACUCUAAAAUUACUAAUAAGGCGGUGGAGAUGGAGUGGCCAACAACAGAGAGAAGGCUUGACUCUCCUGGCACCGGCUUUUCUAGGUUGCAGACAGAACAAAAUCUCUCAUCAGAGUAUAUUUACUUCUUGUCAUGGUUUGGAUCUGGAAUGUCCCCCCAAGGCUCCUGUGUUGAAGCAAUUGCCAUCAGGAAAGCUCAGCUGGGAACCAGUUGGACCAGAAGAAGCCUGGAGAACUAGCAACCAGGAGUCAGCUUCUCUCUGCAACACAGAGCAGAGCUGGGAAAGGGCCGGGAAUGGAUCCAAGUGCAGACAGGCUCAGGACCAGGACUGCAUCCAUUAGGAGACAGCAAAGAAGGGACCUCUAGAGGGGAUCAUUGGAGGCCGCAGAGAGACCAGGAAACAGAGAAACAGGACUCCUUGUCCCCCGGUGCUGGUCACGUUGUGCAUUCUGUACAGCAGACCAAAUAAGGUGGCUCUGACUGCAGUGAAAUUUCCAAGAGAGAGGAAAUGAUCAAAGAAAGAAACAGAACCAUUUCUGACACCAUGGAUAUUAAGGGGGGAAAAAAAAUUGAAAAUUUUUUUUUUCUAUAAGAAUAGACCUAAAAAAAUAUAUAUAUAUCUGGAACACUCCCAACAAAUUACCAUCAUUCCUCCUUGAAUUUUGAUGAUCUGUAUUGUUUGAAUUUUUUUUUUAAAUGAUA